UUUAUAUGAAACCAAAAUAAAUUGUAGGAUAAGAUAUAAUACUUUAGCUUAUAGAAGUUUUUUUUUGAGAGAUAGAUAGCACGCUACCCGCUUCGUUUAUUUUAUUUAGAAAUAAACUUAGCUGGAAAUGUGAAUCAACUAGGAUUCGAAUCUGGGUUUCGGGUACCAACUACCAAGCUCUUUGCCACUUGCUCUAGAGACGGUUGGUUUUAGCUGAUAGAAGUUAACAUAAUACAGAUGGACUAAAUCAAGUUUACAUGUAUUGAUCUUAAUCUGAUGCAAACAAUAAUAAUUUUGGUGGAAGUGACCAACCGUCCCUAUAGCAAGUGGCAAAGAAUUUGAUGGUUGAUAUCCGAGACCCAAAUUUAAAUCCCACAGCUAAAUUUAUUUCUAAAUAAAAUAAACGAAAUAAAUAGCAUCCUCUCUAUCUCUCAAAAAAGAAAAAAAAAAAUUUGGUGGAAGUGAGGUUGCGUGUUGGGGUUGGAAUUUGGGUAGGUUGGAGAAGUUGAAGAAAACGAAGAAUAGAAGAGUUUAGAAGGAGUAUGAUAGUACGAAGAAGUAGGCAGCUUGAAUUGUGCCACACUCCAUCAAAACAUGUGGUGGGAGCUGAUGUUGCGGGACACAAGCAUUUUUAGUGUAUUUCUAGUUCCCAAGUUUGAACAGAGAAAACAGCGAUGGGGGAGAUGCACCCGCCAAUAAUAGGACAAAAAAGUUUUGUAGACAUAUACUCCCCAAUAUUUGAGAAUUGUCUGAAGGGUUCUUCAACGUUCAUAGCACAAGGUAGUAAAAGAUUUAAUGAUUAAUUUCGAAGUUUCAAAUUCAAAGUUUAAAUGUUUUAUAUUUGCAGCUAAGAUUAAAAAUACUAACACAAUGAUUUGUUUGACACCAAAAAAAAAAAAAAAAUCAAGAAAAUAAAUUUUUAAGAAAAUAACAUUCGGUUUAGAAUUUAUGCAUAGGAAAAGGUUUAAAUGCAACAGUUAUAUGAAUAAUAUGAUAUUUUCUGCCAAUCAAAUUGCUCUUUUAUAAUUCACUCAUCCCAUCAUAGUUUUUAGAAAAAAAUGGGCAAAAUUAUAAAAAAUACUCUUGUAAAUAUUGGUUUUUUAACUUUUCAUUCUUGACCUCCAAAAAAUCUAUAUUUUACUUCCUUCAAGAAGGUACGGCAUUAACGAAGAGGGCAAACUAACCAAAUUGUCUUUAUAUCUUCUAUAAAGAAAAAUAAAAUUUUAAUAUAUUUUUGUCAUUUCAAAUUUUAAAUUUUAAAUUUCAAAUUUCAAAUUUCAAAAUUUAAAUUUUCAAUUUAGCUUUUAAAUUAAAAGUUUAAAUUUAAAUUUAAAAUUUAAAAGCUAAAUUAAAAUUUUAAAUUUUCCAAUUUUAAAUUUUAAAUUUUAACUUUGAAAUUUAAAAAUUAAAUUUAGAUUUAAACAUUUAAAUUUUAAAAUUAUUUUUUAAAUUAAAAUAUCAAAUUUUAAAUUUUGUACACUUUUGAAAAUUAAAAAUUUUAAUUUUAAUUCAAAUUUAAAUUUAAAAUUUAAAUUAUUUUAAAAUAAAAUUUAAUAAAAAUAUUAAUUUAUGCAAACAAUAAAAAUUUUUUUUACCAAAUAGUUUUAUAAAAUCACUUCAGAAAAAUCAUUUUUAUCUAAACUCAGCCAAACACUCUACAACUUUUAACCAAAAUCACUUCUCCAAACCAAAAUUAAUUCUGCAAAAAACACUUUUCUAGAAUCUAAGCCAAACAAACCCAAAUAUACAUCAUACAUAUGAAAGAGAGUCUAGCUACUAUACUCUCGAGCAUAGACCCUUUUCAUACUCAUAAGUUAUUUUUUGAUGAUGAACGAACGAUCAAACUUGAAGAACCUUCUAAAAAUAAAUGAAUUUUUUAAUUCAAGACCGAAGUUACUAAUUUUUAUUUAAAUAAUAAAUAAAAUUUUCUGUCAAAAAUUCAAUAAAUUUUGAUUCUUUUACAUCUCUAAAUUAGCAACCAUUCCAUAUCGGUCGUUAAAAGUUGUAAAUUUUAAGAUCUUUUGAUCGUAGGGUGAAUAACGUAAAAAAAAAAGUUAUAAAAUUUAAUUUCGACACAUUUUAAAUACUCUAAAUCAUAUUUAAUGGUCCGAAUCAAGAAUUUAGGUGUUGUGGCACGAAAUCGUGUCGGAAACUUACCGGCCGAGCCGUGCCGGUGCGUGCCGGUAAAAAAUAUUCUUGUGUGCCGAUACAUAAUAGCAUGAAAUAUUUAUUUUCUUUAGCAAUAAAAUAUUCUAACUAUUUAUUAUGUCUUUUUAUCUCAUCUUUUAAACUUUAUUGAGAAAAUUACUUAUUAAUUUAAAGAAUAGAAAAUUUUGAGCUGUGCCAUCGGCACGGAGUCUGUAUCGUGCUGGUAUCUUGUUGGCACGAUACGGCACGAUGGAUACGGCCCUUGCCGACGGACACUUAAAAUCUUGGUCCGAAUCGUUGAUUCGAAAACUUUAUCGUCGAAAAUGAUUUGAGUACAGAGACAAUCGUACUUAUAAAAGUAUCGUAACCGGACUCUAAAAAAUAGAUAAUUAUUCUUAGUUCCCCGCUUAAAAGUUUUCUCAAUCAAAUCGAAAUUGAAACUGAGAACCAAAAUAUCAAAUCAAAUUAAAAAACCAAAUAAAGUGAAUCAAAUAGCUUUAAUUUGCUUUGGUUUGGUUUGCGGUUUUGGAACCAAAAAUGAACCCUCCUAGAGAGAGAGAGAGAGAGAGAGAGAGAGAGAGAGAGAGUUGAGAGUCGAGAAUUGAAGUUGAUUUUGUCAAGCAGGGUCAGAAACUUUUAACUCAUUCAAUACCAUGCAACUUUCACCUUAUUUAACAUUUUGUCACUAAAAUAUGUUUUUGGUAAAACUUACGUACUUAUCUAAAUUACGAAUCAUCGACUUACCGAUCUUUUAAAAUUUUAAUUUUACUAUUGAAACUUCUAAUUUGUUUGAUCAGAGACCGUCAACAGCACCUUAACUAUAAAAUUUAAACUAAUUACUUCUUUUAAAUAAUUACAGUUACAAAAAUUACAUAAAGUAUAUAAUAAAUUAAUAAAAAUAAAUAAUAUAUUCAAGUUUUGAAGUCAAAGUGCUUUUAAGCAACCUAGAAAUAAUUGAUUAAAUAUUAUCAUUUCUACAUGAAACAACUACGAGAAAAAAGACAACCUAGCAAGAUUUAAGAAACAUUGGUCAAAAUACAGCAGCUUUGGCAUAUAACAAUCGUUUCAUAUUACCCACCGUAUCAAACAUAGUUGGUACAUAAGAUUUCAAUUUCAAAACCGGAUUGAUUCAUAUUUCUGAGUUCAUUUUUUUUAAAAUAAAAUAAACAAAACAAAUAAUUUAUUACCUUUCGCUCAAGAAACUAAAAAAGAAAACAAUCAUUUCAUAUUUAGUAAACUUUAUCCAGAAACGUGCACUGCACUACAAAAAUCUCAGUUGAGAAUCACAAACUAAUGCCUUUCACCGGAAAAUUUUGUUCUUUUGAAAGAUCACAAGGCACUAAAAAACAAAAGAGUAAAACUAAAUGCAACCAACNCACUUCUCCAAACCAAAAUUAACUCUGCAAAAAACACUUUUCUAGAAUCUAGGCCAAACAAACCCUAAUAUACAUCAUACAUAUGAAAGAGAGUCUAACUACUAUACUCUCGAGGAUAGACCCUUUUCAUACUCAUAAGUUAUUUUUUGAUGAUGAACGAAAGAUCAAACUUGAAGAACCUUCUAAAAAUAAAUAAUCGAAUUUUUUAAUUCAAGACCGAAGUUAAUGAUUUUUAUUUAAAUAAUAAAUAAAAGUUUCUAUCAAAAAUUCAAUAAAUUUUGAUUCUUUUACAUCUCUAAAUUAGCAACCAUCUCAUAUCGGUCGUUAAAAGUUGUAAAUUUUAAAAUCUUUUGAUCGUAGGGUGAAUAACGUAAAAAAAAAAGUUAUAAAAUUUAAUUUCGACACAUUUUAAAUACUCUAAAUCAUAUUUAAUGGUCCGAAUUAAGAAUUUAGGUGCCGUGGCACGAAAUCGUGCCGGAAAUUUACCGGCACGGUACCGCACGGUGCGUGCCGAGCCGUGCCGGUGCGUGCCGGUCAAAAAUAUUUUUGUGUGCCGACACAUAAUAGCACUAAAUAUUUAUUUUCUUUAACAACAAAAUAUUCUAACUAUUUAUUAUAUCUUUUUAUCUCAUCUUUUAAACUUUAUUGAGAAAACUACUUAUUAAUUUAAAGAAUAGAGAAUUUUAAGCUGUGCCAUCGGCACAGAGUCUGUAUCGUGCCGGUAUUUUGUUGGCACGGUACGGCACGAUGGAUACGGCCCGCUCCGACGAGCACUUAAAAUCUUAUUCCGAAUCGUUGAUUCGAAAGCUUUAUUGUCGAAAAUGUUUGAGUAUAAAAACAAUCGUACUUAUAAAAGUGUCGUAACCGGACUCUAAAAAAUAGAUAAUUAUU
This 4415-nucleotide long non-coding RNA is filed under the name Ananas comosus (pineapple). RNAcentral describes it as "long non-coding RNA (ACOM_LNC013120)". The record is from RNAcentral. Lineage: Eukaryota; Viridiplantae; Streptophyta; Magnoliopsida; Poales; Bromeliaceae.